UGUGAUUGUUUUUUCGAUUUUUAUUAGAACGAUAUUUAUAGAUGCCUGAAAACUCAUUGGUAGAUAAGUAUUGUUUUCUCGUUUUUACUAGUGUCUGAUCAGACUAAACUGGUUUAAACAUUAUGAUGCAUCUUCCGCCCAAUUUCUUUUAAGAUAGCUAACGAAAAUCAAUUAAAAUAAACAUGGACCAACCGAGUUUAUGAAUCCACCAAAUAUAGUGGGAUUAUAAAGAAGAAGAAAAUCAACGAAGAAUAAAGUGAUAACAGUACAUGAUUUUCCUUUUCCCUCUUUACUUUCGUCUCUUACUGCCUUAAAUUAUACACUGCAUUUCAAAUUGUCAACUAUAUUAUUGAUUUCUUUUGGCAUGAACACAUAUAGGGCGUAUUACUUCGACAGUCUAACAUUUACUUAUACCAAGCUUCUCAAAAUUCGUUUAUAGUACUCGUCUUCGCCAACAAAUAACUUAACAAUUUACGUAUGGAUAUGUUGUUAACAGAACGUCUGGACUCAAAACGGAAUCCACAAAGUGUUAUCUUCGAGAAUACUCUAGAGCCAGUUUAGAUCUUGCUAGUUAUUUUUAAAUAGAAGUUAUUGAAGGUUGCCGAGCAAUACAAGUGUGAUAUAGUAAUGUUGAAUCUGAACCAUUUAUUGUCCACUAGUAAAUGUGCAAGAAUUAAUCCAUUUAUUGUUUCCAUGUAAAACAUAGAACAGAUAGCGUAACAAACAACAUCGUACUUUAGCAUUUCACUUUGAAAAAUUUUAGUCAGAGCUUCUUGUACAUUGUUAUCAAGGGUCGUAAAUGAAUUAUGUUAGCUUUCUGGAGUGUCUGCUAGACUUAAACAAUUGGAUUUUAGAAAACUAAAGAGUGUAGCCCCUAUUUAAAUCUAUUUAAUUGUAAUAGCUUGAAUGCUACUCAAAGGCGUAAAUCCUUUUUUAAGCGCUU
Non-coding RNA from Schizosaccharomyces pombe (fission yeast), 943 nucleotides. NCBI's taxonomy places the organism in Eukaryota, Fungi, Ascomycota, Schizosaccharomycetes, Schizosaccharomycetales, Schizosaccharomycetaceae. The record is from the annotation of a GenBank genome assembly.